Long non-coding RNA from Dermacentor albipictus, 622 nucleotides. RefSeq lists it as uncharacterized. NCBI's taxonomy places the organism in Eukaryota, Metazoa, Arthropoda, Arachnida, Ixodida, Ixodidae. The record is from RefSeq and is a predicted model, not a curated record.
CCGUGUUAGUUGCACAUGAAUGACAGAUUCCAAGUUUCUUGCGGUGCUGUGUUGCCUGUGAGAAAAACCGGAGUGCAAGCAACUGUUUUUGUGUAUCUGUGUACGGAUGUCCUCGCUCAAGAAAAACGCUCGUUGGGUCGUGCUCAAUUUAACUGGAACCCUUCUCGUAUGCCUCCAGGUUUCUGCCACGUAGGUUCAUCUGCAUCUGUGAACUUCACCAAAAUUCCAGGACUUUCAGUUUAUCAUGACAUAUAGGUGCUGCUUGAUCCAGCAAGUCAUUCCGAAGAACCAACCUUGUGCUCACUAUUCUUCGUCAACCACCAUUUCGGGGAGGCAAGCGCAACAGGAUUUUUUCUUUCCAUCGCAAGAAUCUCCUCCAGGUAAGAGGGAUGUGGAUCUGAGAGUUGGCAGCAGAUGCAAUGAAACCACUCCGGUAUCGCGGUCCUCGGGAGCCUGACCAGCCCACCGUAAUCUGAGCACUGACCAACCACCCUACGACGUCUGCUGCCGGCCGUGAAAGCAAUGGCCAGCCCUUCGUCACCGGCACCUUGCCUAACUCGAAUCCUCAGGACCCUGCCUGAUCCACUGUCAUCCACCUAGCUUCCCAAGACAUAUAUCUCUU